Long non-coding RNA from Salvelinus fontinalis (brook trout), 196 nucleotides. RefSeq lists it as uncharacterized. The transcript is spliced from 3 exons. Lineage: Eukaryota; Metazoa; Chordata; Actinopteri; Salmoniformes; Salmonidae. The record is from RefSeq and is a predicted model, not a curated record.
UGUGUGUCUGUGUGUGUAUACAGCAGGUACUUGAAGUUGGCGUUGGUACAGAUGAUGUGUGUCUGUGUGUGUAUACAGCAGGUACUUGACGUUGGUACAGAUGGUGUGUGUCUGUGUGUGUAUACAGCAGGUACUUGACGUUGGCGUUGGUACAGAUGGUGUGUGUCUGUGUGUGUAUACAGCAGGUACUUGACGU